Molecule: ribosomal RNA, 406 nt
Filed under: uncultured bacterium
Lineage: Bacteria
Description: partial 16S ribosomal RNA
Rfam family: Bacterial small subunit ribosomal RNA
Source: RNAcentral
AUUGAACGCUGGCGGCAGGCCUCACACAUGCAAGUCGAGCGAGCGGCGGACGGGUGAGUAAUGUCUGGGAAACUGCCUGAUGGAGGGGGAUAACUACUGGAAACGGUAGCUAAUACCGCAUACCAUCAGAUGUGCCCAGAUGGGAUUAGCUAGGAGGUGGGGUAAUGGCGCACCUAGGCGACGAUCCCUAGCUGGUUUGAGAGGAUGACCAGCCACAAGGGAGCGGAGACACGGCCCAGACUCCUACGGGAGGCAGCAGGGGGGAAUAUUGCACAAUGGGCGCAAGCCUGAUGCAGCCAUGCCGCGUGUGGGAAUAAGGCCUUCGGGUUGUAAAGCACGUUCAGCGGGGAGGCGGGACCCGCAGAAGAAGCACCGGCUAACUCCGUGCCAGCAGCCGCGGUAAUAC